AUGGGGAUGACUUGUGGAUCGGAGUGAAAGGCUAAUCAAGCUCGGAGAUAGCUGGUUCUCCUCGAAAGCUAUUUAGGUAGCGCCUCAUGUAUCACUCUGGGGGGUAGAGCACUGUUUCGGCUAGGGGGUCAUCCCGACUUACCAAACCGAUGCAAACUCCGAAUACCCAGAAGUGCCGAGCAUGGGAGACACACGGCGGGUGCUAACGUCCGUCGUGAAAAGGGAAACAACCCAGACCGCCAGCUAAGGUCCCAAAGUUGUGGUUAAGUGGUAAACGAUGUGGGAAGGCUUAGACAGCUAGGAGGUUGGCUUAGAAGCAGCCAUCCUUUAAAGAAAGCGUAAUAGCUCACUAGUCGAGUCGGCCUGCGCGGAAGAUGUAACGGGGCUCAAACCACACACCGAAGCUGCGGGUGUCACUCAAGUGACGCGGUAGAGGAGCGUUCUGUAAGCCUGUGAAGGUGAGUUGAGAAGCUUGCUGGAGGUAUCAGAAGUGCGAAUGCUGACAUGAGUAACGACAAUGGGUGUGAAAAACACCCACGCCGAAAGACCAAGGGUUCCUGCGCAACGUUAAUCGACGCAGGGUUAGUCGGUUCCUAAGGCGAGGCUGAAAAGCGUAGUCGAUGGGAAACAGGUUAAUAUUCCUGUACUUCUGGUUACUGCGAUGGAGGGACGGAGAAGGCUAGGCCAGCUUGGCGUUGGUUGUCCAAGUUUAAGGUGGUAGGCUGAAAUCUUAGGUAAAUCCGGGGUUUCAAGGCCGAGAGCUGAUGACGAGUCGUCUUUUAGAUGACGAAGUGGUUGAUGCCAUGCUUCCAAGAAAAGCUUCUAAGCUUCAGGUAAUCAGGAACCGUACCCCAAACCGACACAGGUGGUCGGGUAGAGAAUACCAAGGCGCUUGAGAGAACUCGGGUGAAGGAACUAGGCAAAAUGGCACCGUAACUUCGGGAGAAGGUGCGCCGGCUAGGGUGAAGGAUUUACUCCGUAAGCUCUGGCUGGUCGAAGAUACCAGGCCGCAGCGACUGUUUAUUAAAAACACAGCACUCUGCAAACACGAAAGUGGACGUAUAGGGUGUGACGCCUGCCCGGUGCCGGAAGGUUAAUUGAUGGGGUUAGCGCAAGCGAAGCUCUUGAUCGAAGCCCCGGUAAACGGCGGCCGUAACAAUAACGGUCCUAAGGUAGCGAAAUUCCUUGUCGGGUAAGUUCCGACCUGCACGAAUGG
RNAcentral lists this ribosomal RNA (1216 nucleotides) under Brucella abortus. RNAcentral's name for it is "bacterial LSU rRNA". It matches the Rfam family "Bacterial large subunit ribosomal RNA", at positions 798 to 1999 of the family's 2925-position model. The record is from RNAcentral. Lineage: Bacteria; Pseudomonadati; Pseudomonadota; Alphaproteobacteria; Hyphomicrobiales; Brucellaceae.